RNAcentral lists this ribosomal RNA (301 nucleotides) under uncultured bacterium. Its description in RNAcentral is "partial 16S ribosomal RNA". It matches the Rfam family "Bacterial small subunit ribosomal RNA", at positions 509 to 807 of the family's 1533-position model. The record is from RNAcentral.
CAGCCGCCGCGGUAAUACGUAGGUGGCAAGCGUUGUCCGGAAUUAUUGGGCGUAAAGGGCUCGCAGGCGGUUUCUUAAGUCUGAUGUGAAAGCCCCCGGCUCAACCGGGGAGGGUCAUUGGAAACUGGGAAACUUGAGUGCAGAAGAGGAGAGUUGAAUUCCACGUGUAGCGGUGAAAUGCGUAGAGAUGUGGAGGAACACCAGUGGCGAAGGCGGCGACCUGGUCCUUUACUGACGCUGAGGCGCGAAAGCGUGGGGAGCAAACAGGAUUAGAUACCCCAGUAGUCCCUGUCUCUUAUAC